RNAcentral lists this ribosomal RNA (108 nucleotides) under Afzelia africana. Its description in RNAcentral is "partial 28S ribosomal RNA". It matches the Rfam family "Eukaryotic large subunit ribosomal RNA", at positions 1 to 109 of the family's 3401-position model. Lineage: Eukaryota; Viridiplantae; Streptophyta; Magnoliopsida; Fabales; Fabaceae. The record is from RNAcentral.
AACCUCAGCUCAGACGGGUCUACCCACUAAGUUUAAGCAUAUCAAUAAACGGAGGAAAAGAAACUAAUGAGGAUUCCCCUAGUAACGGUGAGCGAACCGGGAAGAGCC